GCCGGAGGAUGCAAGCGUUAUCCGGAAUGAUUGGGCGUAAAGCGUCCGCAGGUGGCAGUUCAAGUCUGCUGUCAAAGACCGGGGCUUAACUUCGGAAAGGCAGUGGAAACUGAACAGCUAGAGUAUGGUAGGGGCAGAGGGAAUUCCUGGUGUAGCGGUGAAAUGCGUAGAGAUCAGGAAGAACAUCGGUGGCGAAGGCGCUCUGCUGGACCAUAACUGACACUCAGGGACGAAAGCUAGGGGAGCGAAUGGG
This 253-nucleotide ribosomal RNA is filed under the name uncultured bacterium. RNAcentral's name for it is "partial 16S ribosomal RNA". It matches the Rfam family "Bacterial small subunit ribosomal RNA", at positions 524 to 776 of the family's 1533-position model. The record is from RNAcentral.